This 436-nucleotide ribosomal RNA is filed under the name uncultured Blautia sp. Its description in RNAcentral is "partial 16S ribosomal RNA". It matches the Rfam family "Bacterial small subunit ribosomal RNA", at positions 341 to 792 of the family's 1533-position model. The record is from RNAcentral. Lineage: Bacteria; Bacillati; Bacillota; Clostridia; Lachnospirales; Lachnospiraceae.
ACGGAAGGCAGCAGUGGGGAAUAUUGGGCAAUGGGGGAAACCCUGACCCAGCAACGCCGCGUGAAGGAAGAAGGCCUUCGGGUUGUAAACUUCUUUUACCAGGGACGAACAAAUGACGGUACCUGGAGAAAAAGCAACGGCUAACUACGUGCCAGCAGCCGCGGUAAUACGUAGGGGGCAAGCGUUAUCCGGAUUUACUGGGUGUAAAGGGAGCGUAGACGGAAGGCCAAGCCUGAUGUGAAAACCCAGGGCUCAACCCUGGGACUGCAUUGGAAACUGGUCAUCUAGAGUGCAGGAGGGGUAAGCGGAAUUCCUAGUGUAGCGGUGAAAUGCGUAGAUAUUAGGAGGAACACCAGUGGCGAAGGCGGCUUACUGGACUGUAACUGACGUUGAGGCUCGAAAGCGUGGGGAGCAAACAGGAUUAGAUACCCUGGUA